UACGUAGGUGGCAAGCGUUGUCCGGAUUUAUUGGGUUUAAAGGGUGCGUAGGCGGCCCUGUAAGUCAGUGGUGAAAUAUCUCAGCUUAACUGAGAGGGUGCCAUUGAUACUGCGGGGCUUGAGUACAGAUGAGGUAGGCGGAAUUGACGGUGUAGCGGUGAAAUGCAUAGAUAUCGUCAAGAACACCGAUAGCGAAGGCAGCUUACCAAGCUGUAACUGACGCUGAGGCACGAAAGCGUGGGGAGCGAACAGG
This 253-nucleotide ribosomal RNA is filed under the name uncultured bacterium. RNAcentral describes it as "partial 16S ribosomal RNA". It matches the Rfam family "Bacterial small subunit ribosomal RNA", at positions 524 to 776 of the family's 1533-position model. The record is from RNAcentral.